Molecule: ribosomal RNA, 131 nt
Filed under: uncultured bacterium
Lineage: Bacteria
Description: partial 16S ribosomal RNA
Rfam family: Bacterial small subunit ribosomal RNA
Source: RNAcentral
GCCAUGGCGCGGUGAAUACGUUCCCGGGUCUUGUACACACCGCCCGUCAAACCAUGAGAGUCGCCAACACCCGAAGUCCACCUAGUGGCCUAAGGUGGGGAGAUGAUUGGGUUAAGUCGUAACAAGGUACC